AUUGAACGCUGGCGGCAUGCCUUACACAUGCAAGUCGAACGGCAGCACGGGAGCAAUCCUGGUGGCGAGUGGCGAACGGGUGAGUAAUAUAUCGGAACGUGCCCAGUCGUGGGGAUAACGUAGCGAAAGCUACGCUAAUACCGCAUACGAUCUAUGGAUGAAAGCGGGGGAUCGCAAGACCUCGCGCGAUUGGAGCGGCCGAUAUCAGAUUAGGUAGUUGGUGAGGUAAAGGCUCACCAAGCCGACGAUCUGUAGCUGGUCUGAGAGGACGAUCAGACACACUGGAACUGAGACACGGUCCAGACUCCUACGGGAGGCAGCAGUGGGGAAUUUUCCGCAAUGGGCGAAAGCCUGACGGAGCAAUACCGCGUGAGGGAAGAAAGCCUACUGGGUUGUAAACCUCUUUUUUUCUAGGGAGGGAAAAAAGUAAA
This 431-nucleotide ribosomal RNA is filed under the name uncultured bacterium. RNAcentral describes it as "bacterial SSU rRNA". It matches the Rfam family "Bacterial small subunit ribosomal RNA", at positions 30 to 459 of the family's 1533-position model. The record is from RNAcentral.